Molecule: ribosomal RNA, 2751 nt
Filed under: Triticum aestivum (bread wheat)
Lineage: Eukaryota; Viridiplantae; Streptophyta; Magnoliopsida; Poales; Poaceae
Description: partial small subunit ribosomal RNA
Source: RNAcentral
AUGGCGGAAGCCGUGGUUUUUUAUGUUCUUGAGAAAAUUGGGGAUGCUUUGGCGGAAGAAGGACUAAACUUGUUGAGGUCACAGUUAGGGAGAGAAACGUCAGUUUUACCUGAAAUCAAGGACAGCAUGACACAUCUUAAAAGUCAAUUUAAUAUCACGAAAGCUUUCCUCGCUGAGCAACAAAAUUAUUCGUCACAAGGUGCAGCGUAUGAUGCUUGGCUUGAUGAAGUAAAGAAUGUUGCACACAAAACUGAAGAUGUCAUUGAUGAGUUUACCUAUCUGACUGGGCAAACAUCCAGAAAAGGCAGCAAGUUAAUGGGCCUCUUCCGUCGUUCCACAAACCUUGACGAAUGGCAUGAAAUUGCCAGGCAACUUAAACAGAUUGAGGUCACUCUCCAGAAGCUGAUGAGCACAAGGGAACUUUAUGGCAUUUCAGUAGGUGAACACAAGGGAGACAACAGUCUAGGACAGGAGAGUUACCAGGAACUUUGGUCGGACUCCACAUAUUUUGAUACCGAAGAGGAUAUUUUUGGGAAUAAAGAAGAGAAGGCAAAACUUAAUCAUUUGUUGAUGCAUGGUCCAGAAACUCGAAAUAUAAUCGCCAUCUGUGGUAUGGGUGGGAUAGGGAAAACAACUCUGGCUCGUGGCAUAUACAAAAAUAAAGAAAUUGAAAAUGCCUUUAAUUGCCGUGCAUGGAUUACAAUGUCCCAGAAGUAUAAGGUUGAAGAUUUGUUGAGAGGAAUACUCAGACAGGUCAGGGAGAAGAAUGUGAACAUCCAUGAUCAGAUUGACACAAUGGACAGAGUAAAUUUGGUACAAACACUAAGAAGUUACCUGCAGGACAAAAAAUACUUGGUUAUGUUGGAUGACAUGUGGAGUCGAGAUGCUUGGGCACUAUUGAACCAUGCACUUCCUGAAAACAAUAUAGGAAGCAGAAUUGUCAUCACAACUAGAAUUGAAGGUGUUGCAUCGAUAGUAAACAAUGAUUGUCGUAUUGAGCCAAAACGCCUGCCAUGGAAAGAUGCAUGGGAUCUCUUCUGCCACAAAGCAUUUCAGAGGAUCGAUGGGAAAAGAUGUCCAGAAUUCCUGAAUCACUUGGUUGAGAAAAUUAUUCAAAAAUGUGACGGAUUACCCCUUGCUAUUGUUGUUAUUGGAAGCCUCCUGAACUACACUAACGCAGAUGAGAAGGAGUGGAAUAUGUUCUAUAGUCAGCUUAGUUGGCAUAUCGAUAAGAACCCAGAGCUGAACCAUCUGAAAAAUAUUCUCAGUCUCAGCUUUAAUUCCUUACCAGGAAAUCUAAAAAACUGCUUCAUGUAUUGUUGUUUGUUCCCUGAAGAUUAUCUUAUUAGAAGGAAACGGAUUAUUCGGCUAUGGAUAGCUGAAGGGUUUGUUGAGGAAAGGGGUGCCGGUACUACUUUGGAGGAAGUGGCUGAGGAAUACCUUCAAGAGCUUGUUCAUCGUUCACUUCUUCAAGUUGUAGAGAGGAACCAGAGUGGUAGAGCAAAAGGAUUCCAGAUGCAUGAUAUUGUAAGAGAGAUAACUAUAGCAAGGUGCAGAAGUGAGAGAUUCUCUCUUGUUGCAGAAGAUCCCCGACAGACAAAACUUGGGAUUGAAGCUCGUCGAGUUUCUGUACUGAAGGGUGCGGAAGCUGUGGAAUCUGCUGCAGGUGCAAGACAGCUCCGGUCUUUUCUUUUGUUUGAUGAGAAAGUGAACGAUGCAUGGUUUCAGAAAGCUUUUGCAAAUUUCAGAUUGCUCACGGUGUUGUCAUUGGAAGGGGCAAACAUUGAGAAGCUCCCCGAUAUCGUAACUGAUCUCUUCAAUUUGAACUAUCUUGAUCUAAAGGGCUCUAAAGUUAAAGAGAUACCCAAGUCAAUCGGUAAGCUAAGAAAGCUGCAGUUAUUGAAUAUUGAAGGUACGAAUGUAAUGGAAUUGCCAGGUGAAAUAAGGAUGCUGACCAAGCUCCGCUUGCUAAGAGCUGGUUGUGCCGUUGCUGGUGAAGGGUUUAUCGUCUUUCGAGCAGUCAGAUUACUCUCCCAAAUUUAUCAUCUAAAUGAUUUACAGGUACUGGGAGACAUAGUAGCAAGUGAAGGUUUAGUUGAUAAUCUCGGAAAGUUGACACAACUGCGUAGUUUUGGGAUAUUUGUUGAGAAAAUAAAAUAUCUGAAGAACAUAUGCACUUCCAUCAGAAGAAUGCCAAACCUUGUUAGGUUCGGUAUUGUCUCAUGCAUCGAGGAGCUUGUACUUGACCUCGACAACUUUGGUCAUGUUCCAAGUCUGGAAUGGCUGCGCUUACGCGGGAAGUUGCAUGGAGGGGUUGCACUACCUAUGCUCUUCAGUUUCACUAAAUUGACAUUCUUGAGUUUGGAGUGGUCCAGGCUGCAGGUGGAUCCUCUUCCUUCCAUCUCACACAUGUCAAACCUAGGCCAACUUUCACUUCAGAGGGCCUAUGACGGGCAACUGCUGACCUUCCGAGCAGGAUGGUUCCCCAAGCUCAAGGAAUUGCACCUGAUUCACAUGGAGCAUCUCAACUUUAUUGAAAUGGAGGCUGGCACCAUGCAAAACCUGGAUUAUGUACAGCUUAUUGAUUUGAGAAGCAUGAUCACUGUUUCACACGGGUUCCAACAUUUGACUUCUGUACAAAAGUUGGUCCUUGCGGACAUGCCAGAAGAAUUCAUUGAAAGUGCAAGAGGAGAGGACUGGGUCUACAUUCAGCACAUUCCUAGCGUAGUGAAUAUCAAGAUUGAAAAAUAG